GCCUACGGGGGGCAGCAGUCGAGAAUCAUUCACAAUGGGGGAAACCCUGAUGGUGCGACGCCGCGUGGGGGAAUGAAGGUCUUCGGAUUGUAAACCCCUGUCAUGUGGGAGCAAAUUAAAAAGAUAGUACCACAAGAGGAAGAGACGGCUAACUCUGUGCCAGCAGCCGCGGUAAUACAGAGGUCUCAAGCGUUGUUCGGAAUCACUGGGCGUAAAGCGUGCGUAGGCUGUUUCGUAAGUCGUGUGUGAAAGGCGCGGGCUCAACCCGCGGACGGCACAUGUUACUGCGAGACUAGAGUAAUGGG
RNAcentral lists this ribosomal RNA (305 nucleotides) under uncultured bacterium. RNAcentral's name for it is "bacterial SSU rRNA". It matches the Rfam family "Bacterial small subunit ribosomal RNA", at positions 337 to 653 of the family's 1533-position model. The record is from RNAcentral.